GUCUUCGUGGUGUAACGGUUAGCACACUCGGCGCAAAAUGUCCAGGUUCGAGUCCCGGUGAAGGCA
Molecule: transfer RNA, 66 nt
Filed under: Stegodyphus mimosarum
Lineage: Eukaryota; Metazoa; Arthropoda; Arachnida; Araneae; Eresidae
Rfam family: tRNA
About the family: Transfer RNA (tRNA) molecules are approximately 80 nucleotides in length. Their secondary structure includes four short double-helical elements and three loops (D, anti-codon, and T loops). Further hydrogen bonds mediate the characteristic L-shaped molecular structure. tRNAs have two regions of fundamental functional importance: the anti-codon, which is responsible for specific mRNA codon recognition, and the 3' end, to which the tRNAs corresponding amino acid is attached (by aminoacyl-tRNA synthetases). tRNAs cope with the degeneracy of the genetic code in two manners: having more than one tRNA (with a specific anti-codon) for a particular amino acid; and 'wobble' base-pairing, i.e. permitting non-standard base-pairing at the 3rd anti-codon position.
Source: Rfam by way of RNAcentral